Molecule: ribosomal RNA, 492 nt
Filed under: uncultured bacterium
Lineage: Bacteria
Description: partial 16S ribosomal RNA
Rfam family: Bacterial small subunit ribosomal RNA
Source: RNAcentral
AGUGAACGCUGGCGGUAGGCCUAACACAUGCAAGUCGAACGGCAGCACAGUAAGAGCUUGCUCUUACGGGUGGCGAGUGGCGGACGGGUGAGGAAUACAUCGGAAUCUACUUUUUCGUGGGGGAUAACGUAGGGAAACUUACGCUAAUACCGCAUACGCCCUACGGGUGAAAGCAGGGGAUCUUCGGACCUUGCGCGAUUGAAUGAGCCGAUGUCGGAUUAGCUAGUUGGCGGGGUAACUGCCCACCAAGGCGACGAUCCGUAGCUGGUCUGAGAGGAUGAUCAGCCACACUGGAACUGAGACACGCUCCAGACUCCUACGGGAGGCAGCAGUGGGGAAUAUUGGACAAUGGGCGCAAGCCUGAUCCAGCCAUACCGCGUGGGUGAAGAAGGCCUUCGGGUUGUAAAGCCCUUUUGUUGGGAAAGAAAAGCAUCAGGUUAAUACCCCGCUGUUCUGACGGUACCCAAAGAAUAAGCACCGGCUAACUUCGUG